Molecule: long non-coding RNA, 3079 nt
Organism: Struthio camelus australis
Lineage: Eukaryota; Metazoa; Chordata; Aves; Struthioniformes; Struthionidae
Source: Ensembl
CCCGCCGGCAAAAACAAGGGGCUACUGGAGGCACUGAAACGUUAACACCGCUCUGGGAGGCUCCUCUCUCCUCCUUAGAAAGGCAGCGGGGGCAAGGAAACAGACUGGCCCCCAAAAGCUUAAGUGAACCAGGAAAUUCGUUGGUGGCAAAGGAAUACAGCGCAAGGACUUUCUAGAUUUUUCUCUGCUCCCACAAUGGUUAGGAAAUGAUUAGCUUUCAAAACGAAAAAAAAAAAAAAAAGGCCCUCAAGGUGUUUGCAUCACUUCAGGAGGGAAAGCUUUCAGAAAAACCACCAAAUUUUGCAAGAAUUGCCAUGAAGUCGGAAGAGGUAGCAGUAGUGCUGUCUUGGAGAAAAGACUUGGCAUCGCCCACUUUUCCUCCUCCCCCACCUCCAACCCCGGGAGGCUCCAGCCCAAGACAUGGGGGAAGGAGAAGGACAGAGCCAUGGCAUUCUCUUUGCAAUAUGAGGAGAACCAAAGCAGAGAAUUGGGUAGAUCCUGUGCUCCUGACUGCAGCCUGCCUGGUCCUGACGUGGGCAACAUAAAUUAGGAAAGCUCCUUAUUUUGGAUCCGUCAUUCACUGCAGUCACACAAUGGUCAGUCACAAUCCAUCUUAAGAGCUUUGAAAUCCUUGGAAGGUAUUAGAGAUGUGCUGAGCAUUUUGUUAAUUGUUUAUUGUAGAGGCACAGUGCAAUGACAGUACAUAGGAAAGAAAUACAUUAAAGAAUUUCUAUUGUCCCUUCUCAAUUAAUUUCCUCAAAAUCAUUUCUUUUUUAGAUUAUUUCUUCCUCCUGUAUAGAAGAACUUAAGGACUUCACCUCAUCAUGAUUCCUCAGCACUCCAAAGGAGGUAACUGGACUCAAUAACCAUGCUUCUUUGUGUCAUUUAUUCAACAGUUCUUGUAGGUAUUACUGAAAUAAGCAGAGCAGCAAGACGACAUAUUUUGUAGUCUACAUACUAGCCGAUAAGACCCAAAGAACAAGAUAAUCUCUUUGAUAUCAUGCUCCUGCAUGUAAAGCUGCUUGUCAGGAGCUGGAGUUAGAUGGCAUAGGUGCUCUGAUGUUAUGCGCCAUACAUGCUUCUAUGAAAACUGGGAAACCAGAUUACAGUGUACUUUCAGAUAUUCCUUUGCAGAUGAACAAAUGAGGUAGACAUAAAAUCUGAGAUACUUCAUGCUUCCCUGUACAUCUCAAGCAUUAUCAGGAUGAAAGAGUUCCAUUUUAGAGAAAGGACAUCUAGGAAAUGCUGCAUGGUAGGACUCAUAGCAAAUGCUAUUGAAGAUUGUUUAUGUUAAAAGAAAAGAGAAAAGACAACAUAACCUUUAGAAGAACAUGUGUGUAACAGAAGGUAUCAACAUCCUCUGCUAGAACUAUCUGAGAAAAUCAUGUUAUGAAAUUAACCCAACUUUCUAGAUCCAAAUUCUAUCUUAAGCCAUGAAACAAUUUUCACACCAAUAUAAAUAUUACGGGGAAUGUAGAGGCUUCUGAAAACGUCACUUUAAACAGAAAAGAUCAUUGUUCCACUUCCACUGCCCUAUAAUAUGCCUACUGAAAAUCCUGAAAAUCAGGAUACCUUCUAUUAAAUGAGAAAAGAAAAAACGAUAAAUAUAUUUUUUAAGUAAAUAAGAAGUCAUUCUGUAUGAAAACAAGGCCUGCAUCAUGAGAAGAAUCAUCUGACGUGGAGCGGUUGUACUGGAAGGUCUAGUGUUUAUAAAUGUGUCUCAGCUGGAGACAGCUGUUGAACUUUUGAAAUGGAAGAGAUUUUUCCUGUAUACUCUGGAAAGGCUUCAAAGUACACACAGCAAGCAAAUUCCACAAACACAAUGGGCCUAUUUCAGCCAGUGUUCACCUAAACUUUUACUCCAGUUUGAUUCAUUCUGGCGCCAAAAAUGACAUCUAUAAACUGAUUUUCAUUUGCAUUUGAUCCUUUCCCACUGAAGUGCUUGGGAAGUUGUCUUUUAAAGAGUGAAAUCUGAGUCUUAAAAAUCUCAGCUAGACAUAUGCUAAAAAUGUCAGAGAAUGAAACCUCUAUUUCCAUCGAACUUUGAUCUUUCCAAAGAGAAGCCAUGUAGGAUAAGGACAAGGAACCCCAUCCUUGAAGCUAUUUUAUAAAACAGCUUCUGACUAUUAGGAUGAAAUUUCUAGUUAAUACUUUCUCCAAAUAAGUACUGAUUAGUUCUAUAAAGAUAAAAGCCUUAGAAGUAAAUAUUUAACACUAUUAAAAUCUAGACGUUUAGCAUUGUGCAGUGUCUUCCCUGGCUGCUACUAUACGCUACACACUAUCAGCAAAAACACACGCCUGAGACGCAAAAGAAUAUUACACCUCAAAAAAUUACGUAUCUGUUACAAUUUAAUCUUUGAGAGUUGUAUGAAAAAAUACUUGGACAAAGGUUAUUCUAAUGUAUUUUAUCCUACGUGACAGAUCAUUAUGUUGCUUUUGUCACCGUACUAUCUGAACACUUCUCAGCACAUUAAGAACUGCAACUAAAAGUUGACAGAUUUAUUCUCUUGUUCUCUCUCUGAAAGAGAAGUGCAAAUAAGCUAGAUGAUUGUUUUGCUACUUUGUCUUUAGACGUAUCUGCAGAUAUUUUUAAUUUUCACUUUGGAAGAUAAAAUUGAAGUACAUUUUGAACUUGGUUGAAAAAUUAGUGAGUUUCACAGUGGACUUUAAUUCUUACAGGAAUCCUUUCCAGGGUCUCACCUUGGCGUCCUCCGUCUCUUGCUACUGUGUCUAAUGAGUUAGGUUAUUUCUGUUUCCAGAACUCAGACUCUUAUUUAGAAAUACUGGGCUCCAAUCACCGAGUAACCUGAGCUAAGGACUAACGCUUUGAACAUGACAUAACAUUCUGCAGAAAGGCAAUGCAGAGAGUAAGAGAAAGUUUGAUGUGUUCCUCCUGGUAGCUCACAUUACCCAUGCUGCAUCAUUUUUUAUUAGCUGGCGUUUCUUAAGAGCCACUGUUCAUUACUCUUCUCUCAGCCUGAGUUAAAACCUAUUUAAACUGGAAGUAAGACAAACUUAGAAAAUUCAAAAAAUUUCAAAAAAUACCUACAAAUAAAAAUAAUUACAGGCAAAGAUGGGA